GACGAACGCUGGCGGCGUGCUUAACACAUGCAAGUCGAACGGAAAGGCCCUGCUUUUGUGGGGUGCUCGAGUGGCGAACGGGUGAGUAACACGUGAGUAACCUGCCCUUGACUUUGGGAUAACUUCAGGAAACUGGGGCUAAUACCGGAUAGGAGCUCCUGCUGCAUGGUGGGGGUUGGAAAGUUUCGGCGGCUGGGGAUGGACUCGCGGCUUAUCAGCUUGUUGGUGGGGUAGUGGCUUACCAAGGCUUUGACGGGUAGCCGGCCUGAGAGGGUGACCGGCCACAUUGGGACUGAGGUACGGCCCAGACUCCUACGGGAGGCAGCAGUGGGGAAUAUUGCACAAUGGGCGGAAGCCUGAUGCAGCAACGCCGCGUGCGGGAUGACGGCCUUCGGGUUGUAAACCGCUGUCGCCUGUGACGAAGCGUGAGUGACGGUAAUGGGUAAAGAAGCACCGGCUAACUACGUG
RNAcentral lists this ribosomal RNA (468 nucleotides) under uncultured bacterium. RNAcentral describes it as "partial 16S ribosomal RNA". It matches the Rfam family "Bacterial small subunit ribosomal RNA", at positions 28 to 507 of the family's 1533-position model. The record is from RNAcentral.